Molecule: long non-coding RNA, 1504 nt
Organism: Anguilla rostrata (American eel)
Lineage: Eukaryota; Metazoa; Chordata; Actinopteri; Anguilliformes; Anguillidae
Exons: 3
Source: RefSeq, a predicted model, not a curated record
UGAUGUUGGACCCCAACAGUGCACGUGCCUCUAUCUCUCUCUCUCUGAUGAUCUGACCACUGUGAGAUUCACAGGUACAGAGCAGAAAUGUCCUGAGAGGUUCAGAUCCUAUGUGAAUGUGUUGGGAUCUCAGGGACUUACCUCAGGGAAACACAGCUGGGAGGUGAAGGUUGGGAAUAAAUUAGCCUGGGAUAUAGGAGUGGUGACAGAGUCCACCAGUAGGAAGGGAAGUAUAACAUGCAGCCCAGGGAGAGGAUUCUGGGUCUUAAUGCUGAGGAAUGGUGAUCAGUACAGUGCAGCUGUUACUAAGCUCACACUGAAGAGGAAACCCCAGAGCAUCAGAGUGCAGCUGGACUAUGACAGGGGGGAGGUGUCCUUCUUCGACUCCGGUGACAUGUCACUCAUCUACACUUUUAAAGGCACAUUUACUGAGAGAGUGUUCCCAUUCUUCUCUCCAUGUAAUAAUGAAGAUGGCAGGAAUUAUGGAGCCCUGCAAAUAUGCCCAGUGAAAGUGUCUGUAAAAAAAGAACUGACUAAAGAUGUUGUACUAAAGGAGUAUUAUAGAGGAAAUCCAUUUAACUUUAAUUUUACAUAAUUUUCUUUCAUGAACUGUAGAUACAAUGAGCGCAAAAUGUAAAAAAAAAUGAACAAACUGCACUCUCAGAAGGGAGAGUUUCAAAAGGCUCCUUUGUGUUUCCACAGAGGAACCCUAUCAAAUGCAAGGUUCGUUUUGAGGCAAAAUGGUUCAAUUAACCUUUAACACAUUUCACACCUACCAAAGAGGGUUCCAUGAUGAACAAAAAUAGGUUCCCCUAUUGAGACAAGCAAAGAACUCUCUUCUUCUGAGAGUGUACUGUAUAGAUGUCCUGAAUGAGUAUUAUAGAGGAAAUCCAUUUCAUAAUUAUACUCAGUUUUAUUCUCAUCAUUAUUGUGUAGAGAGUUAAUGAACUGUACAUGCAUUAUUUGAUAAUGUAUAUACAGGCACUUGUAAACUACAGGCAGCAUCUUAUGGGCUUUGUUUUUAUCUGAAUCUGUGAACAAAACUUUAUUUCAUAUAAUACUUGUACAUAAAACAGAUGUGCUCUGGUGACGUCAAAUACUUUUAAACCUGAUUUAAGUCAUUGCUGCAUAACUUGGUUUGUAAGCCAGCAUACAAGCUUGAAAUGUAUGAGUAUCAUGAAAACUCACAGUUUGUCAGUCUCAUGCGCUUAAGAUUUUACUUUGUGGAUGUUGCCAGGAACAAAUUCACUCUGUCAGCCCCAUGCUGUGCAAUUAACAUUCAGGCCUUCAGUAGCCUACACAUACCUGCACACCUGUCUUAUUGGUCUCAUAUUGUUUUAAUGGCUGGCUUUUCCUCGGUAGACAUGCAUGUCAAUUACAGUAUUAGAAUAGUCUACCAUGAUUAAAUAAUUGGCAAUGGCUAGCAAUCACAAAGCUUUCUCUGAUUGUGUCUCCCAUAGUAUUCUCUUUAAUCAAAUCAUAUCACAUUACAGAGUGUAAAUGA